UACGGAGGGGGCGAGCGUUGUCCGAAGUUACUGGGCGUAAAGCGCGCGUAGGCGGGAGGCCAAGUCCGCUGUGAAAGCCCGGGGCUCAACCCCGGCGGGUCGGUGGAGACUGGUCUUCUUGAAGAUGCUAGGGGGAGGUGGAAUUAUCGGUGUAGCGGUGAAAUGCGUAGAGAUCGAUAGGAACACCAGUGGCGAAGGCGGCCUCCUGGGGCACUCUUGACGCUGAGGAGCGAAAGCGUGGGGAGCGAACAGG
RNAcentral lists this ribosomal RNA (253 nucleotides) under uncultured bacterium. RNAcentral describes it as "partial 16S ribosomal RNA". It matches the Rfam family "Bacterial small subunit ribosomal RNA", at positions 524 to 776 of the family's 1533-position model. The record is from RNAcentral.